UACGGGGGGAGCAAGCGUUGUUCGGAUUUACUGGGCGUAAAGGGCGCGUAGGCGGCCACUGCAAGUCAGUUGUGAAAUCUCCGGGCUUAACCCGGAAAGGUCAACUGAUACUGCAGGGCUAGAGUGCAGAAGGGGCAACUGGAAUUCUCGGUGUAGCGGUGAAAUGCGCAGAUAUCGGGAGGAACACCUAUGGCGAAGGCAGCUCGCUGGGACGUUACUGACGCUGAGACGCGAAAGCGUGGGGAGCAAACAGG
This 254-nucleotide ribosomal RNA is filed under the name uncultured bacterium. Its description in RNAcentral is "partial 16S ribosomal RNA". It matches the Rfam family "Bacterial small subunit ribosomal RNA", at positions 524 to 776 of the family's 1533-position model. The record is from RNAcentral.